ACAACUUUCAGCGACGGAUAUCUCGGCUCAGGCACCUAUGAAGGGCGCAGCGAAGGAUUUGUGAAUUGCAGAUCUCCGUGAACCAAUGGCCCCCUGAACGCGCAUUGCACUCUUGGGACUUCCUGAGAGUAUGUUUGCUUCAGUGCUUAUUUUACC
Molecule: ribosomal RNA, 156 nt
Filed under: Symbiodinium sp. clade D
Lineage: Eukaryota; Dinophyceae; Suessiales; Symbiodiniaceae
Description: Durusdinium sp. clade D 5.8S ribosomal RNA
Rfam family: 5.8S ribosomal RNA
About the family: 5.8S ribosomal RNA (5.8S rRNA) is a component of the large subunit of the eukaryotic ribosome.
Source: RNAcentral